UCCGGCCCGUUAACGACGCUCAUGCUCGAAGGCGCGGGUAUCAAACAGGAUUAGAUACCCUGGUAGUCCGCGCGGUAAACGAUGAGUGCUCGGGAUUUGGGCAUUAGCCUGAGUCCCCCAGCGAAAGCGUUAAGCACUCCACCUGGGGAGUACGCCGGCAACGGUGAAACUCAAAGGAAUUGACGGGGGCCCGCACAAGCGGAGGAACAUGUGGUUUAAUUCGAUGAUACGCGAGGAACCUUACCCGGGCUUGAAAUGUGCAUGACGACCCCGAGAGACCGGGGUCUCCUUCGGGCAUGCAUGUAGGUGCUGCAUGGUUGUCGUCAGCUCGUGCCGUGAGGUGUCGGCUCAAGUGCCAUAACGAGCGCAACCCCUUCCGCCGGUUACCAUCGGGUUAUGCCGGGGACUCCGGCGGCACUGCCGCCGCAAGGCGUGAGGAAGGCGGGGAUGACGUCAAAUCAGCACGGCCCUCACGUCCGGGGCCACACACGUGUUACAAUGGGGGGCACAGCGAGCAGGACCAGGGCGACCUGGUUCGAAUCAACAAAUCCCCUCCCAGUUCGGACUGGAGUCUGCAACCCGACUCCACGAAGCCGGAUU
This 600-nucleotide ribosomal RNA is filed under the name uncultured bacterium. RNAcentral describes it as "bacterial SSU rRNA". It matches the Rfam family "Bacterial small subunit ribosomal RNA", at positions 728 to 1332 of the family's 1533-position model. The record is from RNAcentral.